RNAcentral lists this ribosomal RNA (389 nucleotides) under uncultured bacterium. RNAcentral describes it as "bacterial SSU rRNA". It matches the Rfam family "Bacterial small subunit ribosomal RNA", at positions 28 to 417 of the family's 1533-position model. The record is from RNAcentral.
GACGAACGCUGGCGGCGUGCUUAACACAUGCAAGUCGAGCGGUAAGGCCCUUUCGGGGGGUACACGAGCGGCGAACGGGUGAGUAACACGUGGGUGACCUGCCUUUAGCUCUGGGAUAAGCCUGGGAAACUGGGUCUAAUACCGGAUAUGACCCUAUGGCGCAUGUUGUGGGGUGGAAAGCCUUGUGCGGCUAGGGAUGGGCCCGCGGCCUAUCAGCUUGUUGGUGGGGUGAUGGCCUACCAAGGCGACGACGGGUAGCCGGCCUGAGAGGGCGACCGGCCACACUGGGACUGAGACACGGCCCAGACUCCUACGGGAGGCAGCAGUGGGGAAUCUUGCGCAAUGGGCGAAAGCCUGACGCAGCGACGCCGCGUGAGGGAUGACGGCCU